Molecule: ribosomal RNA, 519 nt
Filed under: uncultured bacterium
Lineage: Bacteria
Description: bacterial SSU rRNA
Rfam family: Bacterial small subunit ribosomal RNA
Source: RNAcentral
CCGCCGCAGUAACACAUGCAAGUCGAACGGAGCUUUUAGGAAUUCUUCGGAAUGAGAAUUAGCUUAGUGGCGAACGGGUGAGUAACACGUAGACAACUUACCUUCGAGUUGGGGACAACAUUCCGAAAGGGGUGCUAAUACCGAAUGAAGCCCAUGGAUCGCAUGAUUCGUGGAUGAAAGGUGGCCUCUGAAUAUGCUAUCGCUCGAAGAAAGGUGUGCGCCUGAUUAGCUAGUUGGAGGGGUAAUGGCCCACCAAGGCAACGAUCAGUAGCCGGUCUGAGAGGACGAACGGCCACACUGGGACUGAGACACGGCCCAGACUCCUACGGGAGGCAGCAGUGGGGAAUCUUCCGCAAUGGACGAAAGUCUGACGGAGCGACGCCGCGUGGGUGAAGAAGGCCUUCGGGUUGUAAAGCCCUGUCAUUAGGGACGAAACGUACUGGGAAUAAUAAGUUCAGUACUUGACGGUACCUAAGGAGGAAGCCCCGGCUAACUACGUGCCAGCAGCCGCGGUAAGAC